This 403-nucleotide ribosomal RNA is filed under the name bacterium. RNAcentral's name for it is "partial 16S ribosomal RNA". It matches the Rfam family "Bacterial small subunit ribosomal RNA", at positions 355 to 776 of the family's 1533-position model. The record is from RNAcentral.
UGGGGAAUAUUGCACAAUGGAGGGAACUCUGAUGCAGCGACGCCGCGUGAACGAAGAAGGCUUUCGAGUCGUAAAGUUCUUUUAUAUGGGAAGAUAAUGACGGUACCAUAAGAAAAAGCCCUGGCUAACUACUUGCCAGCAGCCGCGGUAAUACGUAGGGGGCUAGCGUUGUCCGGAAUCACUGGGCGUAAAGGGUUCGCAGGCGGAAAUGCAAGUCAGGUGUAAAAGGCAGUAGCUUAACUACUGUAAGCAUUUGAAACUGCAUAUCUUGAGAAGAGUAGAGGUAAGUGGAAUUUUUAGUGUAGCGGUGAAAUGCGUAGAUAUUAAAAAGAAUACCGGUGGCGAAGGCGACUUACUGGGCUCAUUCUGACGCUGAGGAACGAAAGCGUGGGUAGCAAACAGG